GUCCACCAUCCGCCGUCCGCCGGGGAAUGUCCCUCCCCGGAGGGAGGCGCGCCCCCGCCCGCGCCCGGCCAAGUCAAUCCACAGCAACCCUGUGCUCACCUCUAUAAUUUGCUGUGUAAAGUACUUCAUUGUUACGCGCAGGUCUUUCCCACUAAACUUUGAAGAGUUAAACAGAAGAGGAAUAAUUUAAUAGCAAGCAUUUUGAGAUUUCAAAACAAUACUUGAGAUAUUCUAUUUUCAGACAUACAAAUCUGCAGUGCAAUCAGAUUCAAGGAUUUGGAUGACUAAAGUAGAUGAUCAGUCAUAAAGAGUAUGCGAGCCAGUGGAUUGACAUUCUUGGAUCCGGUCUAAACAUUCUGAUGAACAGUUCCGCAGCAGAUAUGUCAGCAUGACUUCUUUUUCAAUGAUUUUAUUUGGAUUGCCUUCCAGUCCAGUCCGUGACGGUCUUCCUGAAGUAUCCCUUGGUUCUGAGGAACCACAACACACGAGCCAGCAGCGUAAAGGAAACAAGAUUUAUUUUAAGACAUUACGCAGAACUCAACCGAAGAAAGAUUCCCAGGACUGUGUUAAGCAGAGCAAUUAUAAUAGUUUAGAGAGUAUGAGCAAGAAACAACCCACAUGUAAUAAAAUAUGAAGAAAAAGAGGACACCUGGAACAUGCCUGUGCUGGCUUUUCUGCAGCGAGAUGGAGACCGUUCGUCAGCCUCUGUGAGCCUGCAGCCUCCCCUCAGUGCCUGGCGUGGGCGGCUGUGCGGUCAGCGAGUGGGAUGCGAGCUUAUCCAUAAAGUAAGGACGUGAGCAUGAGAGGAAAAGGACAGAUCUCAAUGGAAGGACAACGGGGGAGAGAGAACUCCGGUCAACAAGCCUGGGAGGUGUGGAGUGAUGGAGACGGCAGCACAGUACCUCCCACCCCCACCCCGAUGUUUGCUCAGCCUCUUGAAGAUGAUUGCUUGUAUUUCUGCCUCAGAGCUUCCCAUGAACUUCCCUGAUAUGAAGUGAAAAGAAAAGACUGCGGGAGCUGAUCAGAGAGCGUAAUAAACACAGCGGGCGCCCGUGUUCCUGCCCCGGAGGCUCACGCCUGUGGAAUGUGUCAGAUUUGAAACUGGCACGUGGAGCCAGCGCCAGGCGUGCCCCCCCCCGCCCCCCCAGCACAGCAGAACAUCUGAUUAAACACAAGGGGAACUGUACUGCUUUCGUUCAGCCUGUUCUCUGCAGACACAAACCAUUCUCUGAUAUCAAAUGGAAACGAGCGGAAUUAGCAUGGGAAGGGCCAUUCUUGCUGUCUGAAACCACUGUGUCCUCUCCCUCUUAUUCUCCCAAAGGAAGAGAAUAAGGAUCAUCAAUGGUCAUGGUAGUUGCCAAAGGAACACCAAAAGCCAGCUUCACACUCAGGAGAGAAUGCUGCACCUCCUCUUCGUGGUUUUGGGGGCUCUACACAUUCAGAGAAACUUCUCUAGUAACAAACCAUAGAAAUGACCCCUGAAAGUAUAGGCUUUGGGGAUGACACUCUUAAUAAUAAGGCCCCAUGGAUUUCAUUCUCAGGGCAGUAGAGAGCUAGGAGGAAUUUAAACGUAGGAGAGGGGUGAGGUACUUUGGCCACUCUGGCUUCCCUUCCACUCCCCUGCAAGGUGUCCACUGCUCCCUGUCCCUGGCUAACCCCCACCAGAUUCUGAGCCCCUGUCCUCAGAUGCCUCGAUUUCUAAGGUAACUUGCAAUUAUACGAGAUAAACGUAUGUAAUGGAAGACUGUAAUGGUAGUCGAGGCCUUCAGACAAGGGCUGAUGAUCUGACUACAGAAUUGUAGGCAUUGGCCGGGGGCAGGAGAGAACUGAUGUAACAUUCUUUAAUCAUGGGCUGUUCUUCCAACUCUGAUCACAACACCUCACAAAGAAUCAAACUGGUCUCAAAGGAAUCCAAGCACACACCUGGUGCCCACUUUCCUGAGGGGGGACCCACAGCACCAUCCCCAGGUGGAGGGCAGGAUUUGAAUCCUAGAGUCUCAACAACAGCAGGGAUCCUGGAGUUCCCCUGAGCCAUGGCCUGCAUCACCCAGGCUCCUCCGAGGGCAGGCUCAAAGUGCUUCCUUUGUUAUUAUUAGAUUUGAAUAAUUGGCAUCUCUCCGUGUUUUCCACGCCUUGAUCACCUUCUCAGAGGAGCAGGUGAAUGGAGAAAGAGCCAGCAGGGUUCAGGUAACCCACAAAGUAGACACCUGGUUUUGGUGUCAUCAGAGGGGUCUGGAUUCCAUUGUCACAAGAAAUAAACCAAAACCUU
Long non-coding RNA from Myotis brandtii (Brandt's bat), 2269 nucleotides. RefSeq lists it as uncharacterized. The transcript is spliced from 8 exons. The record is from RefSeq and is a predicted model, not a curated record. Lineage: Eukaryota; Metazoa; Chordata; Mammalia; Chiroptera; Vespertilionidae.